GACGAACGCUGGCGGCAUGCCUAACACAUGCAAGUCGAACGAGACCUUCGGGUCUAGUGGCGCACGGGUGCUUAACGCGUGGUAACCUGCCCUUAGGUUCGGAAUAACUCCCCGAAAGGGAUGCUAAUACCGGUUAAUGUCUUCGGACCAAAGAUUUAUCGCCUUUGGAUGGGCCCGCGUUGGAUUAGCUAGUUGGUAGGGUAAAAGACUACCAAGGCGACGAUCCAUAGCUGGUUUGAGAGGAUGAUCAGCCACACUGGGACUGAGACACGGCCCAGACUCCUACGGGAGGCAGCAGUGGGGAAUAUUGGACAAUGGGCGAAAGCCUGAGCCAGCAAGGCCGCGUGAGUGAUGAAGGCCUUAGGGUUGUAAAGCUCUUUUACCCGGGAUGAUAAUGACAGUACCGGGAGAAUAAGCGCCGGCUAACUACGUG
This 433-nucleotide ribosomal RNA is filed under the name uncultured bacterium. Its description in RNAcentral is "partial 16S ribosomal RNA". It matches the Rfam family "Bacterial small subunit ribosomal RNA", at positions 28 to 507 of the family's 1533-position model. The record is from RNAcentral.